This is a non-coding RNA of Cucurbita moschata (crookneck pumpkin), 74 nucleotides long. NCBI's taxonomy places the organism in Eukaryota, Viridiplantae, Streptophyta, Magnoliopsida, Cucurbitales, Cucurbitaceae. The record is from the annotation of a RefSeq genome assembly.
GCUCUUAUAGCUCAGGUGGUUAGAGCACUUGUUUAGUAAGUGGGAGGUCUUGAGUUCAAAUCUCAAUAAGAGCA